This 253-nucleotide ribosomal RNA is filed under the name uncultured bacterium. RNAcentral describes it as "partial 16S ribosomal RNA". It matches the Rfam family "Bacterial small subunit ribosomal RNA", at positions 524 to 776 of the family's 1533-position model. The record is from RNAcentral.
UACGUAGGGGGCAAGCGUUGUCCGGAAUCAUUGGGCGUAAAGCGCGUGUAGGCGGCCCGGUAAGUCCGCUGUGAAAGUCGGGGGCUCAACCCUCGAAAGCCGGUGGAUACUGUCGGGCUAGAGUACGGAAGAGGCGAGUGGAAUUCCUGGUGUAGCGGUGAAAUGCGCAGAUAUCAGGAGGAACACCCAUUGCGAAGGCAGCUCGCUGGGACGUUACUGACGCUGAUGAGCGAAAGCGUGGGGAGCGAACAGG